UUUCCGUAGGUGAACCUGCGGAAGGAUCAUUAACGAGUUAGGGUCCCCUCGGGGGCCCGAACCUCCCACCCUCUGUCGUCGAACAAACCUUUGUUGCUUUGGCCGGACAGCGUCCGUCCCCCGCGAGGGGGUACCGUCCGCCGCCGGGUCCUCGGGCCUGACGAGCGCCGGCCAGAGUCAAACCACAACUCUUCUUUUGAACAGUCUAGUCUGAGUACAAAGAUUUUAAAUCAAAUUAAAACUUUCAACAACGGAUCUCUUGGUUCUGGCAUCGAUGAAGAACGCAGC
This 288-nucleotide unclassified non-coding RNA is filed under the name uncultured fungus. Its description in RNAcentral is "sequence contains ITS1, 5.8S rRNA gene". The stretch from base 240 to 288 matches the Rfam family "5.8S ribosomal RNA", at positions 1 to 49 of the family's 154-position model. The record is from RNAcentral. Lineage: Eukaryota; Fungi.